GAUGAACGCUGGCGGCGUGCCUAAUACAUGCAAGUCGAGCGAACGGACGAGAAGCUUGCUUCUCUGAUGUUAGCGGCGGACGGGUGAGUAACACGUGGAUAACCUACCUAUAAGACUGGGAUAACUUCGGGAAACCGGAGCUAAUACCGGAUAAUAUUUUGAACCGCAUGGUUCAAAAGUGAAAGACGGUCUUGCUGUCACUUAUAGAUGGAUCCGCGCUGCAUUAGCUAGUUGGUAAGGUAACGGCUUACCAAGGCAACGAUGCAUAGCCGACCUGAGAGGGUGAUCGGCCACACUGGAACUGAGACACGGUCCAGACUCCUACGGGAGGCAGCAGUAGGGAAUCUUCCGCAAUGGGCGAAAGCCUGACGGAGCAACGCCGCGUGAGUGAUGAAGGUCUUCGGAUCGUAAAACUCUGUUAUUAGGGAAGAACAUAUGUGUAAGUAACUGUGCACAUCUUGACGGUACCUAAUCAGAAAGCCGCGGCUAACUACGUG
RNAcentral lists this ribosomal RNA (497 nucleotides) under uncultured bacterium. RNAcentral describes it as "partial 16S ribosomal RNA". It matches the Rfam family "Bacterial small subunit ribosomal RNA", at positions 28 to 507 of the family's 1533-position model. The record is from RNAcentral.